UUAAUGAGGCGAACCGGGGGAACUGAAACAUCUAAGUACCCCGAGGAAAAGAAAUCAACCGAGAUUCCCCCAGUAGCGGCGAGCGAACGGGGAGGAGCCCAGAGCCUGAAUCAGCAUGUGUGUUAGUGGAAGCGUCUGGAAAGGCGCGCGAUACAGGGUGACAGCCCCGUACACAAAAGCGCAUGUGCUGUGAGCUCGAUGAGUAGGGCGGGACACGUGGUAUCCUGUCUGAAUAUGGGGGGACCAUCCUCCAAGGCUAAAUACUCCUGACUGACCGAUAGUGAACCAGUACCGUGAGGGAAAGGCGAAAAGAACCCCGGCGAGGGGAGUGAAAAAGAACCUGAAACCGUGUACGUACAAGCAGUGGGAGCACCCUUCGGGGUGUGACUGCGUACCUUUUGUAUAAUGGGUCAGCGACUUAUAUUCUGUAGC
Molecule: ribosomal RNA, 432 nt
Filed under: Salmonella enterica subsp. enterica serovar Typhimurium
Lineage: Bacteria; Pseudomonadati; Pseudomonadota; Gammaproteobacteria; Enterobacterales; Enterobacteriaceae
Description: partial 23S ribosomal RNA
Rfam family: Bacterial large subunit ribosomal RNA
Source: RNAcentral